Molecule: ribosomal RNA, 457 nt
Filed under: uncultured Anoxybacillus sp.
Lineage: Bacteria; Bacillati; Bacillota; Bacilli; Caryophanales; Anoxybacillaceae
Description: bacterial SSU rRNA
Rfam family: Bacterial small subunit ribosomal RNA
Source: RNAcentral
GCACAAGCAGUGAGUAUGUGGUUUAAUUCGAAGCAACGCGAAGAACCUUACCAGGGCUUGACAUCCCUUGAAGCAGCUAGAGAUAGCUGUGUCCUUCGGGACAAGGAGACAGGUGGUGCAUGGUUGUCGUCAGCUCGUGUCGUGAGAUGUUGGGUUAAGUCCCGCAACGAGCGCAACCCCUGUGGUUAGUUGCCAGCAAGUAGCGUUGGGCACUCUAGCCAGACUGCCGGUGAUAAAUCGGAGGAAGGUGGGGACGACGUCAAAUCAUCAUGCCCUUUAUGACCUGGGCUACACACGUGCUACAAUGGGCGGUACAAAGGGUCGCGAACCCGCGAGGGGGAGCCAAUCCCAAAAAGCCGCUCUCAGUUCGGAUUGCAGGCUGCAACUCGCCUGCAUGAAGCCGGAAUCGCUAGUAAUCGCGGAUCAGCACGCCGCGGUGAAUACGUUCCCGGGCCUU